AGAGAGGUGGCUGAGUGGUCGAAAGCGGCACCUUGCUAAGGUGUUGUACUGGUAACGGUACCGGGGGUUCGAAUCCCUUCCUCUCUACCA
This 90-nucleotide transfer RNA is filed under the name Flexibacter sp. CG_4_10_14_3_um_filter_32_15. RNAcentral's name for it is "tRNA-Ser". It matches the Rfam family "tRNA". Rfam says of the family: Transfer RNA (tRNA) molecules are approximately 80 nucleotides in length. Lineage: Bacteria; Pseudomonadati; Bacteroidota; Cytophagia; Cytophagales; Flexibacteraceae. The record is from RNAcentral.